RNAcentral lists this ribosomal RNA (406 nucleotides) under uncultured bacterium. Its description in RNAcentral is "partial 16S ribosomal RNA". It matches the Rfam family "Bacterial small subunit ribosomal RNA", at positions 30 to 526 of the family's 1533-position model. The record is from RNAcentral.
AUUGAAAGCUGGCGGCAGGCCUAACACAUGCAAGUCGAACGAGUGGCGGACGGGUGAGUAAUGUCUGGGAAAAUGCCCGAUGGAGGGGGAUAAAUACUGGAAAAGGUAGCUAAUACCGCAGAGCAUAGGAUGUGCCCAGAUGGGAUUAGAUAGUAGGUGGGGUAACGGCUCACAUAGGCGACGAUCCCUAGCUGGUCUGAGAGGAGGACCAGCCACACUGGAACUGAGACACGGUCCAGAAUCCUACGGGAGGCAGCAGUGGGGAAUAUUGCACAAUGGGCGCAAGCCUGAUGCAGCCAUGCCGCGUGUAUGAAGAAGGCCUUCGGGUUGUAAAGUACUUUCAGCGAGGAGGCGUUACUCGCAGAAGAAGCACCGGCUAACUCCGUGCCAGCAGCCGCGGUAAUUC